GGCGUUACCUGGCACAGAGGUUAACCGUGAUCACCAAGGCGGUUCCUCCAGGCCGAGGCCCUCCCAUUGCACUUCGGUUGGGCUGAAUCCUGCGAGUAUCUCAAAUGUGGAUACCUCGGGUGUAUAAUUUUUGAUAGUCGGUAACCUGCCUCUCACUGC
Thrips palmi is the source of this 159-nucleotide small nuclear RNA. RefSeq annotates it as U1 spliceosomal RNA. Lineage: Eukaryota; Metazoa; Arthropoda; Insecta; Thysanoptera; Thripidae. The record is from RefSeq and is a predicted model, not a curated record. The transcript has a single exon.